Molecule: ribosomal RNA, 253 nt
Filed under: uncultured bacterium
Lineage: Bacteria
Description: partial 16S ribosomal RNA
Rfam family: Bacterial small subunit ribosomal RNA
Source: RNAcentral
UACGUAGGGGGCAAGCGUUGUCCGGAUUUAUUGGGCGUAAAGAGCGUGUAGGCGGCUGGGUAGGUCCGUUGUGAAAACUCGAGGCUCAACCUCGAGACGCCGAUGGAAACCCUCCAGCUAGAGUCCGGAAGAGGAGAGUGGAAUACUUGGUGUAGCAGUGAAAUGCGUAGAUAUCAAGUGGAACACCAGUGGCGAAGGCGAGUCUCUGGACAUUUCCUGACGCUGAGGCACGAAAGCCAGGGGAGCAAACGGG